UUUUUUUCUUCUUGAAGUUUCACAAAACUUCAAAGAUUAUUUUGUUUUUGAUGGAAGGAUACAGAUGCAAGAACACAAAAGGGCAAAAUAUUUAACACGACUAUCUCCAGCUGGCAAGUUUUAUAUUUUCUUUUCUUUAAUUUCUUUCAAUGCUGAUGUAGAAUGAGGAAGAAACCUAAUUUGCAUGGAAAGAUCCAACAGCACGAGGUAACAUCUCUCAUGAGGGAUAAAUGCUUAGAAUUUUGAAGAUCUUUUGCUUUGCAUGAUUGGUGAAAGGUGAUUUGCUAUCAUGUGAUCUAUAAAGGGAAUAACUUCAGGAAAAAGCAGAGGCGUGAUAAAAUAUUCUAGGCAAGCAUAUUUAAAAUAAAAUUAUUUUGAUAACAGUGAUUCAAUGCACAUUGAAAAGGCUGAAAAAAAUUAAAUUUCAUGUUUUCUGAAAAAUUAGCUUCUAAUUUUAAAGAUGUCAUCCUAUGCAAUCAGAAUUACAGAAAUACAGAUUAUUUAAUAAAUUCAUAUAUCUGCAUGCUUUGGCUGAUCCGCAUUACUUCAUCUCCCAGUUGUGAGUCAGGAUCAUCAAAUAUAAAUUUACAUUGCAGAAAAUAUCUACUGUAUUUUAUUAUUCUACAUAAAUUCAUAUAUAAUUAAAAUAUACAUGGCUGUAUCUUAAAGACCACUUACCAAAUAUACCAUAAAAGUAUUGUAAAUUGCAUUAUAAAACAAACCAGUACAAACUAAGUAUUGUUAAAUUUAAAAUAACUGGAUGUAAGCUAAUUAACAUAUAUUCAUUUUUUUACAGAUUCUAGAGAAUGCCUCGAGUCCUUUGUGUAAAAAAGCACGGUAUAAAUAUGAAUUAAAAAAUAAGCACUCAAGCAAAACUUAUAGCAAUAACUCUGAAUAUUUCCCAUGUUCUCUGAAAGGAAAUGUUUGGCAAAGGGAUGGAAAGUGCCUCUUUACUCUUCACAACUGGGAUUAGCACUAAGAGACAAACAAAAACAAAAACUAGUUUCUAAUUUGUGCAUGAAUUGCCUGAAUGAGGGAAAAUGCAUGUACAACAAUGGCACUUGUCCUGUAAUUGUCUAUUAGAUGCUGCUCCUCCCAUCAUUGCCCUUUUGCUGUCUUAAGGCUCUGAAUCUCCAUAUCUUCUGCUGCCUACCCCAGGGAAGUAAGAAGAGAAACGUUCUCCAAAGAAAAUGAACGCUGAAGCACGGGAUAGACUCUGCUUUACAGCAUAUUCGGAUAAGCUAAUGUGCAGACAAUGUAAUGUUAUUUGAAAGUAGAUAUUUCUUAUAAGGCCAAAAUACAUGCAUGUACUGAACAUAUAUCAAGGGAGCAAGAUAAAACAUUAGCGUCUGAAAGUGAAAGAUAUGUUUGUGUCUAAUACAUUGUAGAAAUUCUCCUGAAAUGGUUUAUCCAUGUAAAAAUACAGCCCCUCUGAUACUGUCAUGAUCCAUAAGAUUCAGAGUGAUCUUCUGAAUUAAGUUUGGUUCACUAAGUUGAGAAAGGUUUUAACUCAUGUCAAAAUUUCCCUAGACCUGAAAAAUUAUUUUGAAAAUGAAAAAAAAAGGUAGCUUGCUUGGUUGUGCUGCUUUUAAAUUUCUCUCCUUUCUGACAUUCUAUUCAGAUUUGCCACAUAUCAUAAAUUCUAAAAGGUACUACAUUAUCUAUCUAUCUAUACAUCCAUCCAUCUAUCUAUCUAGAUAUCACUUAACUAUCUAUGAACUGUGGAAAAUUGCAGGAAUGUCCAACCACUUUAUUUGUAAUGAAAUAGAAAAAUAAAAAAGGAUAUAAACAAUAUAAGCUACAGAUUCAAGUCUACAAAUUCAGUCUAGCACCUAGCACAGGAUUGGAAACAAAGGAGGUCUUCUACAUUAAUUUUUAGAUGAAAUUAAUUACCACUAUUUUUGCAAAGGUACAUUAUAUUAUAACAACAAAUGCAUUAUUUAGCCUUAAACAAUCACAAAGAAUUGGGAAAAUUUUGUAAUUUAGAGAUCCCCAAUAUUGAGGAAGCAUAUUUACAAAAACUAAGAAAAUAAUAUUACCCAGGAAAAGCAACUUACCAAAGUUAGGAAUAUGAAAUCUCCAAUGACUUUUAAGCCUCAAAACAUAUGCUUAGUCAACAUAUGGUAUGGUAUUUUAUACUUGGAAACCUUUUUUUUGAUUGACUAGAUUUAGGCCAAAAGCCAGAGGAAUCAGUGAGUCAGUCUCUAUCAGUUCUUCUUGAUUAUAGCUACCACUAGCCAAGGUUUGUGUUUCAUAUGAUGGUUGCAACAGUGGACCAAGACAUAUCUCUUCUGCAUUUCUCACCCUGGCAAUAGCUGUAAUAUUCCCUAUAAUUUGGAAAUACCUGAAAUGUGAGUGGUAAGUGUACCCUGGCUGAUUAGAACACUAACGACAAUACAACUUGGUCUGUAGACUUAUUACUUUCAUGGUGGAAGCCCAGCUGAACUGUUGUGACUUCAGCAGAAAGAAUGAACAAGUCAAGCAGCUACAGAGACAGACACUAAUAUUAAGCCAAGACUCUUAAACCAAUCUUAUCCCCCCAGGAUGACUACACUCAACUGACCACCUUUCUACCUCUAUUGAAAGCACACACAUAUGUGAGUGCACAAACACAUGACCACACACACACACACACACACACACACACACACACACACCUUAACGGCUUUUUAAUAAUUUUAGGGCUUAUAAUUUAAGAAAAUAACAACAUAAGCUGUCUAACUUAAGCAAGACUAACUGAUAUCCCUUGGCACACAUCUUUGGUGCUGUAUAAGCUCCUUAUUACCAUGCCAGAAAAUUUCCCCAUCAGUGUGUCAUACUUCCUGAAUUUCUAUCCAUUACAAAGACAUCUGUUUAUUAAACAUUUCUAAAUUUCAGAUAUCUUUGUUUUAGGACCUUCAUAGUCUUUCACAUACAAGAAGGAAUUCAACUCAAAUGCUUCUUUUCCUCCAAGACCAGCUCAAGUCGUUAAUAAGCCGAUGUGCGUUUAUCCGACCGAAUUCUGUUGUUCCUACCAUCACGCUCAGGAGAGGUGUCCUGAAUAAAUGUGUGUUGACUGAGGAAAGGGAGAGGCAGAUUACCCACACUGGAAAACUUUACUUUGUGGGUAGAGAGGUGAAUGAGUGAGAUUAGUUAGGUCAGAGGAAGGCUUUAAAGUCAUUAAGACUAAAUUUGAAAUAACCACCUAUGGGCAUGUUCUGUUUGACCAAAGCAGCAGCAGACAGCAUAUCCAUAUCUGCGAGGACAGGUGAGUUGGUUUGGUUCUAUUUGUGGCAGAAGGACAGCAUUAAAAACAAGGAGAUGGUACCAAGACUUGCAAGUGCUGUCCUUAUCCAUUGACAACACUCAUGCAGAGAGCAAUCACCAAGAUGACAUUUUUGAAUAACAAGAAUAAUACGUGGAGGAGGUGGGGAGUGGUUUUGGUAGACUUAGAUAUCUUUCAAUCAUCACAAAAGUAUGACUAGUUGUCAAGGUCUUGUAAUAUAUUUUUAUAAGCUGCUUAAGUUAUCUUUUGAAUAAGAUAAAAUAUGAAUAAAAACACAUUAAUUUAAGUGUUAUAGAGAUUAUAGUAAAUAUUUUAUAAAUGCUCCCAAGAAAAAAUAAAUGACUGUAUUUGUAUGGCAAGAGGAGAUCUACUGAAAGAAAACAGUCCACCAAGAAUAUCUAGAAACCCAUAUAUUUUCAUUUUUAUGUAAAAUAACCACUAUGCCUUCUUUUAUCUUAAUUCAUAUACUGCAGCCGCUUAGACUCUUUAAUGGAGUCAACUCUAAUUUAAAUUUUCUAUACUCAAAAUGAGAUCUAACAGCUUACUCAGAUUAAAACAUUUUAAAAAUAAAUUUUAUUUCCUUUUCCCUCAAAUCGCUAGAGAUAUUUUCGGUUUCAUGAAUGGUUUUACUGUUAUUUUCUUAUUUUACAUUGUGUGAAAAUCAUGUGACUGUAAUUGAAGUUCACAUGAAAAAUGAAGGAGACCCUCCUUAGCAGCCAAAGUUGAUUUUCAUCAAAAACAGCUAGAAAAUUCUGGGACAGAAAAUAAGAUGUACAGAAAGUUAAAUGAUAUUUUAAUGAACUGCUACUGGAGAAUGGACAGUGCUCAUGUAAUUUUCAGUCUCAUGUUUCCAUUUUUUCUGCUACUAUUUGCAAAUUAUUUGUAGCCCAGCAUUUUCUACCCUACUCUGUCUUCUUUUGUCCUGUGAUAAGCAAUCACCUGUAUAAGAGUUGUUCCUCUAAUAUUCAGCAUGAAACUUGUAAUUUCAUAGUCAGAUCUUUUCUGUACCAUUGUGUAAGAGUUCUCUAGAAGAUUAUCCCAAAGAUUAUGGUCAAGGAAUUCCACCUACAAGUAGCUGUAGGAAGCAGUGCUACAGGGCAGCAUUCUUCUCAUUAAUAAACUGCCUGGCUUCCUAGUGUCUCUGCAAAGUGCCCUGUUACAUGACCUAGCUGCAGCCAAUUCUCAUUUUCUAACUCAUUCCUAAAAGCAUUUCUCCAAGCCCACCUACACAGAGACUCAUAUUUUAACUGCAAAGUACUUUACCACAGCCACACUCCAUGCCCUCUCUACUUGGAUGCAGCAUCUCCAAAUGCACUGGAGGACUGAACCUUUCAUAAAUCAGUAGAAAAAUCUUCCCUUCCUUCCCUCCCUCUCUAUUUGAAACCAUCAGUAAAAUGCCUACAUGAACUACUGGGAGCUUGAUGUAUGUUAUUAUGUUAUCAUUUUACAGGUGAGAAAAUAGAUCAUGGAGUGGUUAGACUCUAUAUCAAAUUUUUAACAGAUGACAAUUCAGUGUAAGUGUUUUGCUCUGCCAGCCAAUCACUCAUUGAUUAGGUCUAUGCCCCCUCUCAUUUAGGGCGUGUGCUAAAAAAAAUGGAAGCUCUCAAUUGUUUAUCCAAAAUAAAAGAGAAACAUAAGUAAAGAACCAGUUAGUAAAAUAGAGGAAUGCACACAUUUCGGGCAAUGUAAAGUAUUUCAGAUAAAAGGCAAUGUUCAUUCUAAACAUUGUUCAGUUUGUGUCUAAAAGUUUCAUUGUCCUUUGCAAAUGAACUAUACUUCAGUAAAACUUUAAAAGGAAAGAAAGUAAAAGUUUCAUUAUCAACAAAGUAAAUCCUUAAGUGCUGCUAUGAAACGAGGCAUGCAGUAACCCACAAACAUUUAAAAAUCAAUUUAGAGUUCCCGUCGUGGCUCAGCAGUUAAUGAACUCCAUGAGGAUGCGAGUUUGAUUCCUGGCCUUGAUCAGUGGGUUAGGGAUCUGGCGUUGCUGUGGCUGUGUGUAGGCCUGCAGCUACAGUUCCGAUUCGACCUCUAGCCUGCCCAUAUGCUGUGGGUGUGGCCCUAAGAAGAUAAAAAAAGACAAAAAAUAAAU
Molecule: long non-coding RNA, 5354 nt
Filed under: Sus scrofa (pig)
Lineage: Eukaryota; Metazoa; Chordata; Mammalia; Artiodactyla; Suidae
Description: lncRNA (ENSSSCG00005017352.1)
Source: RNAcentral